UACGAGGAGGGCAAACGUUGUUCGGAUUUACUGGGCUUAAAGGGCGCGUAGGCCGCCGCAUAUGUCGGGGUUGAAAUCCCUCAGCUUAACUGAGGAAUUGGUUCCGAAACUGUGCGGCUUGAAUACAUCAGGGGCAUGUGGAACUCCAGGUGGAGCGGUGAAAUGCGUAGAUAUCUGGAGGAACGCCGGUGGCGAAAGCGACAUGCUGGGGUGUUAUUGACGCUGAGGCGCGAAAGCUAGGGGAG
RNAcentral lists this ribosomal RNA (245 nucleotides) under uncultured bacterium. RNAcentral's name for it is "partial 16S ribosomal RNA". It matches the Rfam family "Bacterial small subunit ribosomal RNA", at positions 524 to 768 of the family's 1533-position model. The record is from RNAcentral.